Molecule: ribosomal RNA, 209 nt
Filed under: uncultured bacterium
Lineage: Bacteria
Description: partial 16S ribosomal RNA
Rfam family: Bacterial small subunit ribosomal RNA
Source: RNAcentral
UCCGUAGGUUGAUAAUUAAGUCAGAGGUGAAAUCCUGCCGCUCAACGGUAGAAUUGCCUUUGAUACUGGUUAUCUUGAGUUAUUAUGAAGUAGUUAGAAUAUGUAGUGUAGCGGUGAAAUGCAUAGAUAUUACAUAGAAUACCAAUUGCGAAGGCAGAUUACUAAUAAUAAACUGACACUGAUGGACGAAAGCGGUGGGGAGCGAAACA